Molecule: ribosomal RNA, 290 nt
Filed under: uncultured bacterium
Lineage: Bacteria
Description: partial 16S ribosomal RNA
Rfam family: Archaeal small subunit ribosomal RNA
Source: RNAcentral
GUGCCAGCCGCCGCGGUAACACCGGCAGCCCGAGUGAUGGCCGAUAUUAUUGGGCCUAAAGCGUCCGUAGCUGGCCGAGCAAGUUCGUCGGGAAAUCCACGCGCCUAACGUGUGGGCGUCCGGCGAAAACUGUUCGGCUUGGGACCGGAAGGCUCGAAGGGUACGUUCGGGGUAGGAGUGAAAUCCCAUAAUCCCGCACGGACCACCGAUGGCGAAAGCACUUCGAGAAAACGGAUCCGACAGUGAGGGACGAAAGCCAGGGUCUUCAACCGGAUUAGAAACCUUAGUCC